This 464-nucleotide ribosomal RNA is filed under the name uncultured bacterium. Its description in RNAcentral is "bacterial SSU rRNA". It matches the Rfam family "Bacterial small subunit ribosomal RNA", at positions 30 to 482 of the family's 1533-position model. The record is from RNAcentral.
AUUGAACGCUGGCGGCAUGCCUUACACAUGCAAGUCGAACGGCAGCACGGACUUCGGUCUGGUGGCGAGUGGCGAACGGGUGAGUAAUAUAUCGGAACAUACCCUAGAGUGGGGGAUAACGUAGCGAAAGUUACGCUAAUACCGCAUACGAACUAAGGUUGAAAGUGGGGGAUCGCAAGACCUCAUGCUCAUGGAGUGGCCGAUAUCUGAUUAGCUAGUUGGUGAGGUAAAGGCUCACCAAGGCGACGAUCAGUAGCUGGUCUGAGAGGACGACCAGCCACACUGGAACUGAGACACGGUCCAGACUCCUACGGGAGGCAGCAGUGGGGAAUUUUGGACAAUGGGCGCAAGCCUGAUCCAGCCAUUCCGCGUGAGUGAAGAAGGCCUCGGUUGUAAGACGUCUUCGUCAAGGGAAGAAAACGUUAACCUACUAACCAUAGGUUAGUAGGCGUGACGGUACCGUU